Molecule: ribosomal RNA, 478 nt
Filed under: Ruegeria sp. 8Bf2S50
Lineage: Bacteria; Pseudomonadati; Pseudomonadota; Alphaproteobacteria; Rhodobacterales; Roseobacteraceae
Description: bacterial SSU rRNA
Rfam family: Bacterial small subunit ribosomal RNA
Source: RNAcentral
CCUGAUCCAGCCAUGCCGCGUGAGUGAUGAAGGCCUUAGGGUCGUAAAGCUCUUUCGCCUGUGAAGAUAAUGACGGUAGCAGGUAAAGAAACCCCGGCUAACUCCGUGCCAGCAGCCGCGGUAAUACGGAGGGGGUUAGCGUUGUUCGGAAUUACUGGGCGUAAAGCGCACGUAGGCGGAUCGGAAAGUUGGGGGUGAAAUCCCGGGGCUCAACCCCGGAACUGCCUCCAAAACUAUCGGUCUAGAGUUCGAGAGAGGUGAGUGGAAUUCCGAGUGUAGAGGUGAAAUUCGUAGAUAUUCGGAGGAACACCAGUGGCGAAGGCGGCUCACUGGCUCGAUACUGACGCUGAGGUGCGAAAGUGUGGGGAGCAAACAGGAUUAGAUACCCUGGUAGUCCACACCGUAAACGAUGAAUGCGCAGUCGUCGGAUAGCAUGCUAUUCGGUGACACACCUAACGGAUUAAGCAUUCCGCCUGGG